CCUACGGGAGGCAGCAGUGGGGAAUAUUGCGCAAUGGGCGAAAGCCUGACGCAGCGACGCCGCGUGAGGGAUGAAGGUCUUCGGAUCGUAAACCUCUGUCAGCAGGGAAGAACGGUCACUGUGCUAAUCAGCAGUGAAUUGACGGUACCUGCAAAGGAAGCACCGGCUAACUCCGUGCCAGCAGCCGCGGUAAUACGGAGGGUGCGAGCGUUAAUCGGAAUUACUGGGCGUAAAGCGCUCGUAGGCGGUAUGUCAAGUCAAGGGUGAAAUCCCGGCGCUCAACGUGGGAAGUGCCUUUGAAACUGGCAGACUGGAGUGUGUGAGAGGAGAGUGGAAUUCGAGGUGUAGGAGUGAAAUCCGUAGAUAUCUGGAGGAACAUCAGUGGCGAAGGCGACUAUCUGGCACAUAACUGACGCUGAGGAGCGAAAGCGUGGGUAGCAAACAGGAUUAGAUACCCGGGUAGUC
This 465-nucleotide ribosomal RNA is filed under the name uncultured bacterium. RNAcentral describes it as "partial 16S ribosomal RNA". It matches the Rfam family "Bacterial small subunit ribosomal RNA", at positions 338 to 795 of the family's 1533-position model. The record is from RNAcentral.